Molecule: ribosomal RNA, 546 nt
Filed under: uncultured bacterium
Lineage: Bacteria
Description: bacterial SSU rRNA
Rfam family: Bacterial small subunit ribosomal RNA
Source: RNAcentral
GGAAUUUUGGACAAUGGGCGCAAGCCUGAUCCAGCCAUGCCGCGUGUCUGAAGAAGGCCUUCGGGUUGUAAAGGACUUUUGUCAGGGAAGAAAAGGAUAGGGUUAAUACCCCUGUCUGAUGACGGUACCUGAAGAAUAAGCACCGGCUAACUACGUGCCAGCAGCCGCGGUAAUACGUAGGGUGCGAGCGUUAAUCGGAAUUACUGGGCGUAAAGCGGGCGCAGACGGUUACUUAAGCAGGAUGUGAAAUCCCCGGGCUCAACCUGGGAACUGCGUUCUGAACUGGGUGACUAGAGUGUGUCAGAGGGAGGUAGAAUUCCACGUGUAGCAGUGAAAUGCGUAGAGAUGUGGAGGAAUACCGAUGGCGAAGGCAGCCUCCUGGGAUAACACUGACGUUCAUGCCCGAAAGCGUGGGUAGCAAACAGGAUUAGAUACCCUGGUAGUCCACGCCCUAAACGAUGUCGAUUAGCUGUUGGGCAGCUUGACUGCUUAGUAGCGAAGCUAACGCGUGAAAUCGACCGCCUGGGGAGUACGGUCGCAAGAUUA